This 565-nucleotide ribosomal RNA is filed under the name uncultured bacterium. RNAcentral's name for it is "bacterial SSU rRNA". It matches the Rfam family "Bacterial small subunit ribosomal RNA", at positions 335 to 918 of the family's 1533-position model. The record is from RNAcentral.
AUUCCUACGGGAGGCAGCAGUGGGGAAUCUUAGACAAUGGGCGCAAGCCUGAUCUAGCCAUGCCGCGUGUGUGAUGAAGGCCCUAGGGUCGUAAAGCACUUUCGCCAGGGAUGAUAAUGACAGUACCUGGUAAAGAAACCCCGGCUAACUCCGUGCCAGCAGCCGCGGUAAUACGGAGGGGGUUAGCGUUGUUCGGAAUUACUGGGCGUAAAGCGCACGUAGGCGGACUAUUAAGUCAGGGGUGAAAUCCCGGGGCUCAACCCCGGAACUGCCCUUGAUACUGGUAGUCUUGAGUUCGAGAGAGGUGAGUGGAAUUCCGAGUGUAGAGGUGAAAUUCGUAGAUAUUCGGAGGAACACCAGUGGCGAAGGCGGCUCACUGGCUCGAUACUGACGCUGAGGUGCGAAAGUGUGGGGAGCAAACAGGAUUAGAUACCCUGGUAGUCCACACCGUAAACGAUGAAUGCCAGUCGUCGGGUAGCAUGCUGCUCGGUGACACACCUAACGGAUUAAGCAUUCCGCCUGGGGAGUACGGUCGCAAGAUUAAAACUCAAAGGAAUUGACGGAA